AAUUGCUGUAAUGGCAGGUCAGCAUACUGCCGUGAAUACGUUCCCGGGCCCUUGUACACACCGCCCGUCACACCAUGAGAGUUGGGAAUACCCGAAGCCUGUGAGCCAACAAACGAGGCAGCAGUCGAAGGUAGAAUCAAUGAUUGGGGUGAAGUCGUAACAAGGUACC
RNAcentral lists this ribosomal RNA (169 nucleotides) under uncultured bacterium. RNAcentral describes it as "partial 16S ribosomal RNA". It matches the Rfam family "Bacterial small subunit ribosomal RNA", at positions 1330 to 1500 of the family's 1533-position model. The record is from RNAcentral.